Molecule: long non-coding RNA, 856 nt
Organism: Pogoniulus pusillus (Red-fronted tinkerbird)
Lineage: Eukaryota; Metazoa; Chordata; Aves; Piciformes; Lybiidae
Exons: 2
Source: RefSeq, a predicted model, not a curated record
CAGCUGAGCUGGGAGGAGACUCCAACAGCAGCAGGAAGUGACUGUGGCUCUCCCACAAGGGCUGCCAAGCAGGAGACCACUGCUCUUACCUCAUGGUGGUUUGGACUGCAGGCUCCUCACUGCCUUUGGCCCCAGCCCUUCUGACACCAGCACCAGGUGAGUUCCUCAGAGACUUUCCUUCUUCCGCUACAAGAUCUCGGAACGAUUUUGGCAAAGCCGAGUGCAGUGGAGAUGACCUUUGAAAUUGAAGAAAGCAAACAAAGUUCACUCCAUCCCUGUGCUUUACAAGACUCCACGUCAUUGCAGGAACCACACAGGGAAGAGGUCUUUCCAGUUACUAAAACCACAGCACUCCUCAGCUGUUGCAUCUCACCACGAUGCCUGCUAGACCUGCCCCAGCAGUCUGACUUUGGGCCAGGUAGGCUAAGCAUGAGAAAACAACUAUCUCUAAGAACAGGAGCAGCCAGGACUGUAGGAACUUCAUUCAAGGGGAAAAAGGAACAAACCAAACCCCAUCCAUUCCACCCCAAAUCACAUCCUCUUACAGAGCAGUAUCAUUUUCACAGCUACUUUGCCUUUGCCAGGCUGCACCUCUUCUAACAGGGUAUCUCCUUGGGAAGCAUCCUGAUCACUCACACAGCAUUCAGGUACUUGCAUUCCACGGCUGAUGUGGACCACAGCAGGAGCCAAGUGUAGCUGAUCUUCUUUCCCCAAGACAUUGAAUGAGCUCCUCACACCUACUGGAGACUCCAUAAACCACUCAGCCCAGGGAGAAAUUCCUUAAACUGACUCUUUUUCAGUUGCUGUUGGGUUCAUUGGAUUGGGCUUUUCUGUUUGGCCGGUUUGGAUUUCUUGU